RNAcentral lists this ribosomal RNA (484 nucleotides) under uncultured bacterium. RNAcentral describes it as "partial 16S ribosomal RNA". It matches the Rfam family "Bacterial small subunit ribosomal RNA", at positions 30 to 507 of the family's 1533-position model. The record is from RNAcentral.
AUUGAACGCUGGCGGCAGGCCUAACACAUGCAAGUCGAGCGGAUGAAGGGAGCUUGCUCCUGGCUUCAGCGGCGGACGGGUGAGUAAUGCCUAGGAAUCUGCCUGGUAGUGGGGGAUAACGUCCGGAAACGGGCGCUAAUACCGCAUACGUCCUGAGGGAGAAAGUGGGGGAUCUUCGGACCUCACGCUAUCAGAUGAGCCUAGGUCGGAUUAGCUAGUUGGUGGGGUAAAGGCCUACCAAGGCGACGAUCCGUAACUGGUCUGAGAGGAUGAUCAGUCACACUGGAACUGAGACACGGUCCAGACUCCUACGGGAGGCAGCAGUGGGGAAUAUUGGACAAUGGGCGAAAGCCUGAUGCAGCCAUGCCGCGUGUGUGAAGAAGGUCUUCGGAUUGUAAAGCACUUUAAGUUGGGAGGAAGGGCAGUAAGUUAAUACCUUGCUGUUUUGACGUUACCAACAGAAUAAGCACCGGCUAACUUCGUG